AAAAAACGCAUAAAAAAAAGAAAAAAGUAGUUACUUGAUAUGAUUUAAGAAGCUUUUGUAUGAUAGUUGGUCUUAAUUCUUAUAAUGACGGUCAAAACCCUGAGUUGACAUAAAUCUGGAAAGUGCAUUUCAAAUGGAUAGUGGCUAUAUUUUAACCUCAUCUACAACAGGACAGACAGACAAACACACUAUAAAGUAAUGCCCC
RNAcentral lists this long non-coding RNA (205 nucleotides) under Mytilus galloprovincialis (Mediterranean mussel). Lineage: Eukaryota; Metazoa; Mollusca; Bivalvia; Mytilida; Mytilidae. The record is from RNAcentral.